UGGGGUUGUAGGACUACGAUAUCGGACGAAAGCUGAUGAAAAGAAUGAUCUGGAAAGUUCAACCACAGAGCAUGAAAGUUGCGUAUUUGAAGUCAGCCGAACCGUAGUAGUAUCCUGAGUAGCGCGGAGCACGAGGAAUUCUGCGUGAAUCUGCCGGGACCAUCCGGUAAGGCUAAAUACUCCCGAGAGACCGAUAGCGAACCAGUACCGUGAGGGAAAGGUGAAAAGCACUUCGAACAGAAGAGUGAAACAGUCCCUGAAACCGUGCGCCUACAAGCGGUCGGAGCAGCUUGAGCUGUGACGGCGUGCCUUUUGCAUAAUGAACCUACGAGUUGCCGUUGCCGGCAAGGUUAAGGGUGAUGACACCCGAAGCCGAAGCGAAAGCGAGUCUGAAGAGGGCGCCUGAGUCGGCAGUGGCAGACGCGAAACCAAGUGAUCUACCCUUGACCAGGUUGAAGGCUGGGUAACACCAGCUGGAGGACCGAACCAAUAAGCGUUGAAAAGCUUCUGGAUGAGUUGAGGGUAGGGGUGAAAGGCUAAUCAAACUUGGAGAUAGCUCGUACUCCCCGAAAUGCAUUUAGGUGCAGCCUUGCGGGUUACUGAUGUGAGGUAGAGCGACUGAUAAGAUGCGAGGGCUUCACCGCCUAUCAAGUCUUGACAAACUCCGAAUGCGCAUCAGUCCUACCGCAGGAGUGAGGGCAUGGGUGCUAAGGUCCGUGCCCGAGAGGAGAAGAAUCCGGACCACCUGCUAAGGUCCCGAAAUGACAGCUAAGUUAAACUAACGAAGUCGGACUGCCAUGACAGCUAGGAUGUUGGCUUGGAAGCAGCCAUUCAUUUAAAGAGUGCGUAACAGCUCACUAGUCGAGGAGUCCGGCGUGGAUAAUAAUCGGGUAUGAAGUUGUCUACCGAAGCAGUGGGAUCAUGUAAAUGAUCGGUAGGGGAGCAUUCCACUCGGCGUCGAAGGCGUACCGUGAGGUAUUCUGGAGCGUGUGGAAAAGCAAAUGUAGGUAUAAGUAACGAUAAAGCAGGUG
This 1031-nucleotide ribosomal RNA is filed under the name Phocaeicola sartorii. Its description in RNAcentral is "Bacteroides sartorii partial 23S ribosomal RNA". It matches the Rfam family "Bacterial large subunit ribosomal RNA", at positions 293 to 1323 of the family's 2925-position model. The record is from RNAcentral. Lineage: Bacteria; Pseudomonadati; Bacteroidota; Bacteroidia; Bacteroidales; Bacteroidaceae.